RNAcentral lists this small nuclear RNA (100 nucleotides) under Lynx canadensis (Canada lynx). The record is from RNAcentral. Lineage: Eukaryota; Metazoa; Chordata; Mammalia; Carnivora; Felidae.
GUGCUUGCUUGGGCAGCACAUAUACUAAAAUUAGAACUAUACAGAGAAGAUGAGUAUGGCCUCUGAGGAAAAAAAAAAAAAAAAACCAAGAUAAAUGUAU